ACCUAUGGUUUCACUGGACUGAAUGCACCUGAUCCUAGCUGAUCUUGGAAGCUAAGCUGUCAUGGGCCUGACUAGUACUGGGAUGGGAGACUGCCUGGGAAUCCUGGGUGCCAUAAGUU
RNAcentral lists this ribosomal RNA (119 nucleotides) under Sphenodon punctatus (tuatara). Lineage: Eukaryota; Metazoa; Chordata; Lepidosauria; Sphenodontia; Sphenodontidae. The record is from RNAcentral.